RNAcentral lists this transfer RNA (72 nucleotides) under Ictidomys tridecemlineatus (thirteen-lined ground squirrel). RNAcentral describes it as "Spermophilus tridecemlineatus (thirteen-lined ground squirrel) tRNA". It matches the Rfam family "tRNA". Rfam says of the family: Transfer RNA (tRNA) molecules are approximately 80 nucleotides in length. Their secondary structure includes four short double-helical elements and three loops (D, anti-codon, and T loops). The record is from Rfam by way of RNAcentral. Lineage: Eukaryota; Metazoa; Chordata; Mammalia; Rodentia; Sciuridae.
UGGGUUGUGGCUCAGCAGUAGAGCACUCACCUAGCAUGUGAGGGGCCCUGUGUUCAAUCCUCAGCACCACAU